Ictidomys tridecemlineatus (thirteen-lined ground squirrel) is the source of this 2212-nucleotide non-coding RNA. Lineage: Eukaryota; Metazoa; Chordata; Mammalia; Rodentia; Sciuridae. The record is from RefSeq and is a predicted model, not a curated record.
CAGAGCCAGUGGCCUCGCCCAUUCCCAGCCCUCAGUCUGCUGCUGCAAGGCCACUGAGCAGGUGGCUGAGUGUCCCUCCCCUGUCUCACCCCUCCCCCAUGGACCCCUUUAGCACUUAACCCUGCCUUCCACAGCCACCUUGCCCAGCAGAGGACAGGUGGCCACCUCCAUCCCACCCACCUCGGCCCCAGGACCUGCAGAGGAGGGCAGCUGCCCCCACCCGAUCCUUGACUUCAGGACACAAGGGCCACAGUCAACGGGAUAAGCAACACCAUCUGACUUCCAGAACAGCACGUCUACAAUUGCAAUUUUGUAAACUUGGGCUGGGAUAAACAGACAUUCACUCUUGUUUGCUUGAGGCUGUGGCCUUCUGCUACCCAGCCUCCCUCUUCAUCAUCGGGUGCAGAGUUCUUUUAUACAAAGUUCCCUGGGGAGCCGCUGGGCCUCCUCUAUGCACGAGACCUUCCUCCUCCUCACCUCUGGUCCCUCUACCAAGGAGCUCUGAGUAAACUGGAUUUAUUCCUGAUCCCACGUGGGGAAGAAGCCGCAAGAGAGUAGACCCCAUUUGUCAUCUUCUGCCACUUCAAGGAUUGUGGAGACCCCCGACCCCAUUUUUCUUGGAAGAUCAGGGCUAAGUAAUGACGACAUCAAAAUCCACUCCAUCUCCCACUUCAGCUUUUACGGCCUGUUCCCAUCCCUGGGCUCAAUCCUUACCCCAGAUCAAUCUGUGCUGCUUCUGCUGCUGUUGCUAUGAUGACGAUGAACCCAUCUCACAAAGGAAGAACCUGGGACUCAGAGCAGCUAAUUAACCUGCCCACGGCCACACAGUUUGGAAGCAGCAGGAUCGUUCCAUCCAAAUCUACCAAUUUUGAAAUCUGCCUUCUAUCCUCUCGGACCCCUUGAUCAGCUGUUUUGAAGCUAACACAGCAUUAUGAGAUCUUGAGAAGCUGCCAGAAGGUAAAUUAUGCUGUCUGUUGUUACUUCCUGGGAGGGUCAACUCUUUGCAUGGCCCCCUUCAGCUGUGAACUGCCUCACGGAACCCAGCGGGUCCUCCGAGCCAGAGGACCCCUUCCACUGCUCCUGCCCAGAAGCUGGGGAACCUUGUCAGAGUAAACCCUGCAAUGCAAACCUCUGCCUCUUCUCUGAAGACAGGGGAACGUCAUGCUCAGACAGUAUGUCCAUUUCUCGCUCACUCCGAAAGAGUCAAAGCGGAAGAAAUCAACACCGCAGAGUGAUGCCACCUAGACUUAUAGCACAGCCAACCAUUGCAAAUUAGCUUUCCACGGUGCGCUCCCCGGGCGCGUCUGAGAGUGGAUGUGUGCGCACCACCUACAACCCUGCGACUGUUCCUCCCUCGGAGGUGGAGGGGCGUCGGCUGGUCUGUGAUGUACUUCUUGGUCAUCUUUGAGUCCUCUCACCUAGCCCAAAACACUCUGCUUAUAAAAGCGUGGAGCAAAGGUUUUUUAAAAUUCCUUAAGUGCAUGAGUAAAUAGCAAUGGGUAAAUCACUAAAUAGUGAAAUAAAUAAACCAUGAAUAAGCAAGCCUCAAAUGCAAGGGUAGAAGAACACUGGUGAAGGAGUCAGUGAAUCAAGGAGCGACACGUUUCUCUCAGGACCUGUGUAAAGACAGCGUGGCUGAUGGGGGACGGGCUGGCUUUCAUCUCCCCUUAGAUCACCCUGCGCUGCAAGCCCUGGCCUCUCCGUGGCCACUUGUUCUCUUUAGCAAACAGACAAGCUUAAAAACAAAACAGAGGAACAGAGAAACAGAACCCUUUAGGAUCCAGGAGCUAAGCCUGGUGGGCCAGCUCGGUGGAAGAGACCUAGAGUGGAAGAGACCUGCUUCUGCCCUGGACAUCUAAGCCUCAAGGCUUUGCUGGGCCAGGAGGGUACAGCAGAUGGCCAUACUCCUGGACAUCGAACCCCAAGGACCUGCACCUCCCCACACAACUACGUGCCACUCUGGAGAGGAACGAGGAAGGGGAACUGAAGACAGAAACCUUAAAUGCUGAGCAUCUUUCCUGGGGGGAAGAAAAAAAAAACAAACACCUGAGCACUACCUAGAGGGACUGUUUCAGUUAUUGGAUUGGACAAAGUCUUAAACUAGAGUGGACAUUUAUUUGAUUCUUCCCUCCUUCUACUGAGUGGGCUGCAGCUCUUAAGGGAUAUUAAGUUAAAUGGACAAAAUAAAGAAACUACAUUUUCCCUGCAUAAA